Molecule: ribosomal RNA, 444 nt
Filed under: uncultured bacterium
Lineage: Bacteria
Description: bacterial SSU rRNA
Rfam family: Bacterial small subunit ribosomal RNA
Source: RNAcentral
UGAGAGUUCGACAGGAUUGAAGCUAAUUCGAGUGGCGGACGGGUGAGUAACGCGUGAGCAAUCUGUCCCAGACAGGGGGAUAACACUUGGAAACAGGUGCUAAUACCGCAUAAGACCACGGCAUCGCAUGGUGCAGGGGUAAAAGGAGGAAUCCGGUUUGGGGUGAGUUCGCGUCCGAUUAGAUAGUUGGUGAGGUAACGGCCCCACCAAGUCGACGAUCGGUAGCCGACCUGAGAGGGUGAUCGGCCACAUUGGAACUGAGAGACGGUCCAAACUCCUACGGGAGGCAGCAGUGGGGAAUAUUGGGCAAUGGGCGAAAAAGCCUGACCCAGCAACGCCGCGUGAGUGAUGAAGGCCUUCGGGUUGUAAAGCUCUGUUAUAGGGGACGAAGGAAGUGACGGUACCCUAUAAGGAAGCCCCGGCUAACUACGUGCCAGCCGCCGC